Molecule: RNA transcript, 4450 nt
Organism: Ipomoea triloba (trilobed morning glory)
Lineage: Eukaryota; Viridiplantae; Streptophyta; Magnoliopsida; Solanales; Convolvulaceae
Gene name: TMV resistance protein N-like
Exons: 6
Source: RefSeq, a predicted model, not a curated record
CUAUAAAUUCAAGUCUUCAAAUUCACAGCUAUUCAUCUGCACUCCAAUUUUUAUAGCUUUCCGGCCUUGUUUUACUCAGUUUUCUGUCCAUCGAUGGGAACACCCCCAAUCGCUCAUGAAUCUUUUGCUUGGGAAUACGAUGUGUUCUUAAGCUUCCGAGGUGAGGAUACACGCAAAACUUUUACUGAUCAUCUUUAUUCUGCGUUGUAUCAAACUGGAAUCCGCACAUUUAGAGACGACGAAGAACUCAGGAAGGGUGAAUAUCUUGCUCCUGAGCUCACGAGAGCAGUUCAAAAUUCGAGAAUCUCUAUAAUAGUCUUCUCAAAAGAUUAUGCAUCCUCUAGGUGGUGCCUUGAUGAACUUGUGCAAAUUGUCGAGUGUAAGGAGAAGGGAAAACAAAUAGUUUUUCCUAUUUUUUACGAUGUUGAUCCUUCUGAAGUGCGUAAGCAAAGUGGGAAGUAUGGGUUGGCUUUUGCAAAGCACGAAGAACGUUUUGGGAAAGGAGAUAAAGUACAAAAGUGGAGAUCUGCGCUCACCAAAGUUGCAGAUAUGUCAGGAUGGGAUUUGCAAGGCAUCACCAACGGAUACGAAUCCAAGUUUAUCAAUACAAUAAUCGAUGAGGUUCGGUUGACAAUAAGACAAGUACCAGUGUUUGUGCCCGACACGGUAGGACUUGAUUAUCGUGUUGAGCAUGUGGUCCAGUUAUUGCUCAGAGAACCUCAUGAUGGUGUCCGUAUGAUUGGGAUACAUGGUAUGGGAGGUAUUGGAAAGACAACUCUUGCAAAAGCGGUCUAUAACAGACUUUUUGUAUACUUUGAAAGGAGCUGCUUUCUAGAGAUAGAUUCAACAAUUUUUGGGCAACAAGAAAAUGGAAUAAAUCUUGAGAAAGUAAACAAUCAGAUUAAAAAUAUACAAAAGCAGCUUUUUAAGAAGCUUUUUAAUGAGGAGAUUGACAUUGGCAGCAUAGAUGAAGGAAUCAUGUUGAUGAAAAGACGACUUCAAGCAAGAAAGUGUCUUAUUGUCUUUGAUAAUUUGGAGCAUAGAAAUCAAUUUAUUAAAUUAUGUGGAGGACGAGACUGGUUUGGUGAGGGAAGUAGACUUAUUUUAACCACAAGAGAGGCACAUGUUUUUAAAGAGCUGAAUGUGGACGAACAUUAUGAAGUUAAGGUAUUGAACCAUGAGGAGUCUUUGAAGCUGUUUAGCCUACAUGCAUUUGGAGAACUUGCGUUGCAAAAAGAAGAUUAUAAUAAGCUUCUAGAUGGCAUAGUUGCUUAUUGUGAGGGACUUCCAUUAGCUCUUGAAGUUUUAGGGGCUUAUCUGUGUCAUAAAUCGAAAAAGGAGUGGAUCAGUGCUUUUGAAAAAUUGAAAGGAAUUCCUCAUAAUGACAUUCAAGCUAAACUUAAGAUCAGUUAUGAUGGGCUUCCAGAUGAUCAUAUAAAAUCUCUUUUUCUUGAUCUUGUUUGUUUUUCCAGUGAAGUUUCUAAGAAGAAAAUUGAAUACAUGGGGUAUUUCUCAGACAUUGAAAUUCAAGACUUGGUUGACAAAUGCUUGAUAAAUCGUGAGCCGUCUUUGAUUAGUAUGCAUAGCUUAAUUCGAGAGAUGGGGAGAGAAAUUAUUCGUUCAGAGUCACCCAACAAUCCUGGUGAACGUAGUCGAUUGUGGUGUCCUUAUGAUAUCCAUGAUGUGCUUAUAGGGGGAAAGGGUACAAGAAAGAUUGAGGUGAUUGUAUUCAACUACUCUCCUAUGAAAGAUGUGAAGUACAAUACAAAAACAUUUAAGAACAUGGAGAAUUUAAGAAUUCUUGAAAUUGAUGAAGUCCAUCUUGAUGGAAAAUUCGAACAUCUAUCCAGUUCCAAGGUGCUUAGAUGUUUGCGAUGGAACCACUGCCCUUUGAAAUAUAUCAAUAUUUCAUCAAGAGAUUCCUUUGAGAAGCUUGUGAGCCUGGAAAUAGUGAACAGCAACAUCAAAGAAUUUAAAGCUCCUCUAAAGUAUUUUCCUUGUCUCGAGUCUUUGGAUAUGGUUGGGUGUCAUCAUCUCACAAGAACUCCAAACUUUAGCGGCUGUCAAAAUCUAUGUAAGUUAUCAUUUCUGGCAUGCUCAAGUUUGUUAAAGGUGCAUUCUUCCAUCGGAGAAUUGGGGAAAUUAGUUUCGUUAACUUUUGGUGGCUGUCAAAAGUUAAAGAAAAUUCCAAAGAACGUAAGCCAUUUGCGGUCACUACAAGCUCUUGAUAUGUUUGGUUCGUCAGAACUUAAAGCAUCCCUUGAAAUUUUUGGAAAUUUAACCUCAUUACAAACACUAAGUCUUUCCCGUACCAGUACUUAUGGGGGGCUCUCCAACCUGUCUCAUUUGCUCAACCUUAAAUCAAUUCGGAUGAAUUUCUGCAAGAACCAAGAAGUACUCCAACAACUUCCUCACACUGUUGAAUGGGUCUACUUGUAUCAUUGUGACAAUCUAAAAAUGAUCCAAGAGCUUCCACUUAACCUUAGGAGUAUUUUUUUAGAGAGUUGCAAAAGUCUUAAAAUGCUUCCAAUUCUUCCUCCCAAUCUUGAGGAUAUUCAUUUAGAUGGUUGCGAAAGUCUUGAAAUGUUGCCGGAACUUCCUCUCAAUCUUGAGAGAAUUAGGUUAACUAGUUGCAAAAACCUUAAAAUGCUCAGUGGAUUUCCUUCCAAUCUUAGUGAUAUUUUCUUAGGUGGUUGUGAAAAGUUUGAAAUGCUUCCAGAACUUCCUCUCAAUCUUUCUGAAAUUAGGUUACAUGAUUGGAAAAAUCUAAAAAUGCUCCCAGAACUUCCUCACAAUCUUAGGAAAAUUAUAUUAUAUAGGUGCAAAGAUCUUAAAAUGCUUCCAGAACUUCCUCUCGACCUUUAUAAAAUUAGUCUAUCUAGUUGCAGGAAUCUUAAAAUGCUUCCAAAAUUUCCUCCCAAUGUUACUAAAAUCUACUUAGAUGAUUGUCAAAACCUGAAAUUGCUCCCAGAACUUCCUCCUGGACUUCAAAAUCUUAUAGUUACAAAUUGUGAGUUGAUAGAAAAAGUAUCAAACUUAUCAAAUUGUACGGGGUUGCGUCAUUUGCAUCUCAUUAGUUGCAAAAAGUUGAAGGAGUUUAAAGGUUGGGAGAAUCUUCAUUCCAUAAGGACAAUUGAGUUUAGAGGUGUUCCCCAUACCGAUUUCUCAGAAAGCAUUAAGAAGGUUUUAAUACGCUCCAUGAAUUCCAAUGGUUCUUUUGAUUGUUCUCUUACUUAUAAUGAAAUUCCUGAUUGGAUUAGAUGUCGAAAAGAAAGAUCAUCAAUAUCAUUCCAAUAUCCAUCAUCCAAUUUGAACAAUUAUACAUUGGAAUUUUAUGGAUUUGUUUUUUGGGUUGUGUUCAAUCCGGCUCCACUACUCCCGCCACUUUAUUGUCAUUAUGACAUCAGAAUUGAAAAGCAUGAUUCCAAAGCCUUCCCACCAACAUGGUAUAAUCAUCAUGGGAUCCAAUUAGAAGUGGAAGGAAUUUCAUUUUUACAUGUCAUUACAGCUAAUGAUCUUUAUGAUUAUUAUGGGUGUGGAGAUAUAAAAGCCGGGGAAGUCAUCAAAGCUACACCGAUAAUUGAAAUUUAUGAGGGAUUGUACAGAGAUGGGAUCAGAUCAUCAUUAGGUGAAGCAAAUUUGGUGAAGAAAAUAGGAGUUAAAGCAAGUGUGGUGAAGAAAAUUGGAAUUGAAGCAUUGUACAUAGAUAAAGAUGGCUCCCUACAACUUCUACCCCUCACUAAAGUUGGGUAAAACACUGAAGAAGAAGAAGAAGAAUUUUUUCUGAAAGUGCCAAAAAUGAGACCCAAAAAAAUAUUUUUGUUUAUCAUGUUGUGUACGUCUCAUACCUACUCAAGGAUGAUAGGCGUUGGACAAAAUGGAGUAGAGCAUAGUGACCGAAGCACUCUUCUUUUGUGCAUAUAGCGGAGUGCGUCGAGGGUGUGAUACAUGGUUAAUUUAGUACAUGUUAAUGAUUUCAUAAGAUACCCAGACCAUCCGAGCCACAGGUCCACUGGGUCUUUCUCUCCGUCUGUUUAAUAGUCCGGAGUCCACCCACGUUCGCUCCGGGAGGCACAGAAGCUGGCCCAUGAGGAAUCGUCACUUGUGGAAUUGAACUCAGGUUCUCCCGAAAUUCCUCCCCACAAAGAGAGCUCACUUGACACAUGACACAAAGUAAUGAUUUUCUAUUAAUUAUUUUUCCAAGUCUUAAUGCAUAUAUCUGUUUGAUUUUCUGAAUUUUGUGUAUUUCACUUUGCCCCUAUAUAUGAGUUCAAGUACGGUAAAUACCUUCAAAUAGUAGCCGCAUAUUUUCUCCAUCACACAAAAAAGUUACACAUUAAUAAUUAAUUUUUUAGUACUACUAACUCUGUUAUACAUUAAUAUGGCGAACUUCUAGUUGAAAUAGUCAAAGGCUUGAUAAUUAACAUUUUAAUUUUUGUUUUAACCAAAA